AACGAACGCUGGCGGCAUGCCUAACACAUGCCAGUCGAACGAGACCUUCGGGUCUAGUGGCGCACGGGUGCGUAACGCGUGGGAACCUGCCCUUAGGUUCGGAAUAACUCCCCGAAAGGGGUGCUAAUACCGGAUAAUGUCUUCGGACCAAAGAUUUAUCGCCUUUGGAUGGGCCCGCGUUGGAUAGCUAGUUGGUAGGGUAAAAGCCUACCAAGGCGACGAUCCAUAGCUGGUCUGAGAGGAUGAUCAGCCACACUGGGACUGAGACACGGCCCAGACUCCUACGGGAGGCAGCAGUGGGGAAUAUUGGACAAUGGGCGAAAGCCUGAUCCAGCAAUGCCGCGUGAGUGAUGAAGGCCUUAGGGUUGUAAAGCUCUUUUACCCGGGAUGAUAAUGACAGUACCGGGAGAAUAAGCGCCGGCUAACUCCGUG
This 432-nucleotide ribosomal RNA is filed under the name uncultured bacterium. RNAcentral describes it as "partial 16S ribosomal RNA". It matches the Rfam family "Bacterial small subunit ribosomal RNA", at positions 29 to 507 of the family's 1533-position model. The record is from RNAcentral.